This is a non-coding RNA of Geobacillus sp. BCO2, 2926 nucleotides long. Lineage: Bacteria; Bacillati; Bacillota; Bacilli; Caryophanales; Anoxybacillaceae. The record is from Rfam.
GGUUAAGCUAGAAAGGGCGCACGGUGGAUGCCUUGGCACUAGGAGCCGAUGAAGGACGGGGCAAACGCCGAAACGCUCCGGGGAGCUGUAAGCAAGCGUGGAUCCGGAGAUGUCCGAAUGGGGGAACCCACUGCUCGUAAUGGGGCAGUAUCCAUGCCUGAAUCCAUAGGGCAUGGAGGGCACACCCGGGGAACUGAAACAUCUUAGUACCCGGAGGAGAAGAAAGCAAACGCGAUUCCCCAAGUAGCGGCGAGCGAAACGGGAACAGCCCAAACCAAGAGGCGUGUCCUCUUGGGGUUGUAGGACCGCUCAUGGUGGGAGUGAGAAAGGGACGGGGUAGACGAACCGGUCUGGAACGGCCGGCCAGAGAAGGUGAGAGCCUGUAGUCGAAACUUCGUUCCCUCCCGAGCGGAUCCUGAGUACGGCGGGACACGAGGAAUCCCGUCGGAAGCAGGGAGGACCAUCUCCCAAGGCUAAAUACUCCCUAGUGACCGAUAGUGAACCAGUACCGUGAGGGAAAGGUGAAAAGCACCCCGGGAGGGGAGUGAAAGAGAACCUGAAACCGUGUGCCUACAAGUAGUCAGAGCCCGUUGAUGGGUGAUGGCGUGCCUUUUGUAGAAUGAACCGGCGAGUGACGAUGGCGUGCGAGGUUAAGCCGAAGAGGCGGAGCCGCAGCGAAAGCGAGUCUGAACAGGGCGAAAAGUACGUCGUCGUCGACCCGAAACCAGGUGAUCUACCCAUGUCCAGGGUGAAGGCCGGGUAACACCGGCUGGAGGCCCGAACCCACGCACGUUGAAAAGUGCGGGGAUGAGGUGUGGGUAGGGGUGAAAUGCCAAUCGAACUUGGAGAUAGCUGGUUCUCCCCGAAAUAGCUUUAGGGCUAGCCUCGGGCUUGAGAGUGUUGGAGGUAGAGCACUGAUUGGGCUAGGGGCCCAAACCGGGUUACCGAACCCAGUCAAACUCCGAAUGCCAACGACUUAUGCCCGGGAGUCAGACUACGAGUGAUAAGAUCCGUGGUCGAGAGGGGAACAGCCCAGACCGCCAGCUAAGGCCCCCAAGUGCACGUUCAGUGGAAAAGGAUGUGGAGUUGCCAAGACAACCAGGAUGUUGGCUUAGAAGCAGCCACCAUUUAAAGAGUGCGUAAUAGCUCACUGGUCGAGUGACUCUGCGCCGAAAAUGUACCGGGGCUAAACGUGCCGCCGAAGCUGCGGGAUGACCGUUGGUCAUCGGUAGGGGAGCGUUCUAAGGGCAGAGAAGCCAGACCGGAAGGACUGGUGGAGCGCUUAGAAGUGAGAAUGCCGGUAUGAGUAGCGAAAACAGAGGUGAGAAUCCUCUGCGCCGAAAGCCUAAGGGUUCCUGAGGAAGGUUCGUCCGCUCAGGGUUAGUCGGGACCUAAGCCGAGGCCGAAAGGCGUAGGUGAUGGACAACAGGUUGAGAUUCCUGUACCACCUUCUUCCCGUUUGAGCGAUGGGGGGACGCAGGAGGAUAGGGCGAGCAGGCGGCUGGAAGAGCCUGUCCAAGCCGUGAGGCUGAUCCGCAGGCAAAUCCGCGGAUUGGAAGGCCGAGCGGUGACGGCGACGGAGUCAUCCGGAAGUCCCCGAUUUCACACUGCCAAGAAAAGCCUCUAGCGAGGGAAGAGGUGCCCGUACCGCAAACCGACACAGGUAGGCGAGGAGAGAAUCCUAAGGCGCGCGGGAGAACUCUCGUUAAGGAACUCGGCAAAAUGACCCCGUAACUUCGGGAGAAGGGGUGCUCUUUGGGGUGAAGAGCCCUGAAGAGCCGCAGUGAAAAGGCCCAAGCGACUGUUUAUCAAAAACACAGGUCUCUGCGAAGCCGAAAGGCGACGUAUAGGGGCUGACACCUGCCCGGUGCUGGAAGGUUAAGGGGAGCGCUUAGCGGAAGCGAAGGUGCGAACCGAAGCCCCAGUAAACGGCGGCCGUAACUAUAACGGUCCUAAGGUAGCGAAAUUCCUUGUCGGGUAAGUUCCGACCCGCACGAAAGGUGUAACGACUUGGGCGCUGUCUCAACGAGAGACCCGGUGAAAUUAUACUACCUGUGAAGAUGCAGGUUACCCGCGACAGGACGGAAAGACCCCGUGGAGCUUUACUGCAGCCUGAUAUGGAAUUUUGGUAUCGCUUGUACAGGAUAGGUGGGAGCCUGGGAAGCCGGAGCGCCAGCUUCGGUGGAGGCGGCGGUGGGAUACCACCCUGGCGGUAUUGAAAUUCUAACCCGCACCCUUAGCGGGGUGGGAGACAGUGUCAGGCGGGCAGUUUGACUGGGGCGGUCGCCUCCCAAAAGGUAACGGAGGCGCCCAAAGGUUCCCUCAGAAUGGUUGGAAAUCAUUCGGAGAGUGCAAAGGCACAAGGGAGCUUGACUGCGAGACGGACAGGUCGAGCAGGGACGAAAGUCGGGCUUAGUGAUCCGGUGGUUCCGCAUGGAAGGGCCAUCGCUCAACGGAUAAAAGCUACCCCGGGGAUAACAGGCUGAUCUCCCCCAAGAGUCCACAUCGACGGGAGGUUUGGCACCUCGAUGUCGGCUCAUCGCAUCCUGGGGCUGUAGUCGGUCCCAAGGGUUGGGCUGUUCGCCCAUUAAAGCGGUACGCGAGCUGGGUUCAGAACGUCGUGAGACAGUUCGGUCCCUAUCCGUCGCGGGCGGAGGAAAUUUGAGAGGAGCUGUCCUUAGUACGAGAGGACCGGGAUGGACGCACCGCUGGUGUACCAGUUGUCCCGCCAGGGGCACCGCUGGGUAGCUAUGUGCGGACGGGAUAAGCGCUGAAAGCAUCUAAGCGUGAAGCCCCCCUCAAGAUGAGAUUUCCCACCGCGUUAGGCGGGUAAGAUCCCUCGAAGAUGACGAGGUCGAUAGGUCCGAGGUGGAAGCGUGGCGACACGUGGAGCUGACGGAUACUAAUCGAUCGAGGGCUUAACCUA